AUUGAACGCUGGCGGCAUGCUUUACACAUGCAAGUCGAACGGUAACAGGCCUUCGGGUGCUGACGAGUGGCGAACGGGUGCGUAAUGCAUCGGAACGUACCCAGAGGUGGGGGAUAACGCAGCGAAAGCUGUGCUAAUACCGCAUGUGAUCUGAGGAUGAAAGCGGGGGACCGAGCAGCAAUGUUUGGCCUCGCGCCUUUGGGGCGGCCGAUGUCGGAUUAGCUAGUUGGUGGGGUAAAGGCCUACCAAGGCGACGAUCCGUAGCUGGUCUGAGAGGACGACCAGCCACACUGGGACUGAGACACGGCCCAGACUCCUACGGGAGGCAGCAGUGGGGAAUUUUGGACAAUGGGCGCAAGCCUGAUCCAGCAAUGCCGCGUGCGGGAAGAAGGCCUUCGGGUUGUAAACCGCUUUUGGCAGGAACGAAACGGUGUCCGCUAAUACCGGGCGCUAAUGACGGUACCUGCAGAAUAAGCACCGGCUAACUACGUG
Molecule: ribosomal RNA, 492 nt
Filed under: uncultured bacterium
Lineage: Bacteria
Description: partial 16S ribosomal RNA
Rfam family: Bacterial small subunit ribosomal RNA
Source: RNAcentral